RNAcentral lists this ribosomal RNA (337 nucleotides) under uncultured Spongospora. Its description in RNAcentral is "SSU rRNA". It matches the Rfam family "Eukaryotic small subunit ribosomal RNA", at positions 611 to 955 of the family's 1831-position model. The record is from RNAcentral. Lineage: Eukaryota; Endomyxa; Phytomyxea; Plasmodiophorida; Plasmodiophoridae.
GACUUGUGUGUGUUGCUGUUCAGCGGUCUGCAUUCAAAAGAGUGUUACGACAUGCGGCAGUGGCGCCGUAAAAUCUUCAACUGGAUCGUAACUGGACUUAAUUGCCUGGUUGCAGUCAUUCGGUUGAUCGUUUACUGUGAGAAAAUUAGAGUGUUCAAGGCAGGCAUUAUUGCAAUUGAAUAUGUUAGCAUGGAAUAAUAAGAUAAGGCUUUCGCGUUUAUUUUGUUGGUUUCUAGGACUAAAGUAAUGAUUGAUAGGGAUAGUUGGGGGUGCUAGUAUUCAGAGGCCAGAGGUGAAAUUCUUGGAUUCUCUGAAGACUAACUACUGCGAAAGCAUU